CGGUAACAGGUCUUUCGGGAUGCUGACGAGUGGCGAACGGGUGAGUAAUACAUCGGAACGUGCCUAGUAGUGGGGGAUAACUACUCGAAAGAGUGGCUAAUACCGCAUGAGAUCUAUGGAUGAAAGCAGGGGACCUUCGGGCCUUGUGCUACUAGAGCGGCCGAUGGCAGAUUAGGUAGUUGGUGGGAUAAAAGCUUACCAAGCCUACGAUCUGUAGCUGGUCUGAGAGGACGAUCAGCCACACUGGGACUGAGACACGGCCCAGACUCCUACGGGAGGCAGCAGUGGGGAAUUUUGAACAAUGGGCGCAAGCCUGAUCCAGCAAUGCCGCGUGCAGGAUGAAGGCCUUCGGGUUGUAAACUGCUUUUGUACGGAACGAAAAGUCUUGGGUUAAUACCCUGGGAUCAUGACGGUACCGUAAGAAUAAGCACCGGCUAACUACGUGCCAGCAGCCGCGGUAAUACGUAGGGUGCAAGCGUUAAUCGGAAUUACUGGGCGUAAAGCGUGCGCAGGCGGUU
Molecule: ribosomal RNA, 518 nt
Filed under: uncultured Comamonas sp.
Lineage: Bacteria; Pseudomonadati; Pseudomonadota; Betaproteobacteria; Burkholderiales; Comamonadaceae
Description: bacterial SSU rRNA
Rfam family: Bacterial small subunit ribosomal RNA
Source: RNAcentral